Araneus ventricosus is the source of this 261-nucleotide non-coding RNA. Lineage: Eukaryota; Metazoa; Arthropoda; Arachnida; Araneae; Araneidae. The record is from the annotation of a GenBank genome assembly.
CCCAGGAUGGCCGAGUGGUUAUGGAAUCAGAUUCGUCUAUCUCACUGGUGUCUCUCACAUUCGUUGUUGAAUGAUUUCGGGCCAAGUGGAACAAAUGUUGUACAUAGAACGCAAUUAAGUAUCCGGUGAUUGUGAUGUUUGAGCUUAUAUAUGAAAAAGUUGUUGCAUGUGAUGAAAGGUUUAUUGUGUGUGAGAGAUAUCAGUGAUUUCGAUUGAUCUGCUUCGCCGAGUGUGACGUGGGUUCGAGUCCCACUCCUGGAU